This 253-nucleotide ribosomal RNA is filed under the name Clostridia bacterium. RNAcentral's name for it is "partial 23S ribosomal RNA". It matches the Rfam family "Bacterial large subunit ribosomal RNA", at positions 2673 to 2925 of the family's 2925-position model. Lineage: Bacteria; Bacillati; Bacillota; Clostridia. The record is from RNAcentral.
UGACCUUAGUACGAGAGGACCGGGUCGGACGCACCUCCGGUGCACCAGUUGUUCUGCCAAGGGCAUAGCUGGGUAGCCGCGUGCGGUUGCGAUAAACGCUGAAGGCAUCUAAGCGUGAAACGUGCUUCAAGAUGAGAUAUCCCAUCAUUUUAAAUGAGUAAGGUUGCUUGUAGACUACAAGCUUGAUAGGUCGGAGGUGUAAGUGCAGUAAUGCAUUCAGCUGACCGAUACUAAUUUCCGAGGGCUUGAACCU